GUAAGGAAUAUUGGACAAUGGACGCAAGUCUGAUCCAGCCAUGCCGCGUGAAGGAUUAAGGUCCUCUGGAUUGUAAACUUCUUUUAUAAGGGACGAAAAAAGGCUUUUCUAAGUCGUCUGACGGUACCUUAUGAAUAAGCACCGGCUAACUCCGUGCCAGCAGCCGCGGUAAUACGGAGGGUGCAAGCGUUAUCCGGAUUCACUGGGUUUAAAGGGUGCGUAGGCGGGCAGGUAAGUCAGUGGUGAAAUCCUAGAGCUUAACUCUAGAACUGCCAUUGAUACUAUCUGUCUUGAAUAUUGUGGAGGUAAGCAGAAUAUGUCAUGUAGCGGUGAAAUGCUUAGAUAUGACAUAGAACACCUAUUGCGAAGGCAGCUUACUACGCAUAUAUUGACGCUGAGGCACGAAAGCGUGGGGAUCAAACAGGAUUAGAUACCCGUGUAGUCC
Molecule: ribosomal RNA, 445 nt
Filed under: uncultured bacterium
Lineage: Bacteria
Description: bacterial SSU rRNA
Rfam family: Bacterial small subunit ribosomal RNA
Source: RNAcentral